UGACAAGUGGAUGGUCCAUGUUCCCCAGUCUGUCAUCAAUUGCCUAUAAAGAAGCAAGUGAUGCAUUGCUCUGGCAAAAUUGAUCAAUCUUAAUCAUCACUAGGUGAAAAUGUCUUGCUGUGGAGGAAAUUGUGGCUGUGGCGCCGGAUGCAAGUGUGGCAGUGACUGCGGAGGGUAAGAUCAGAUCUAGACGUUUUCUUUAUCAAUUUCAUUCAAUUGAAUGGUUAACUUUGUGUUAAUUUGGUUUUGAUUUGAUUUAUGCUAGUUGCAAGAUGUAUCCUGACAUGAGCUUCUCUGAGAAAACCACCACGGAGACGAUGGUUCUCGGUGUGGCACCGGAGAAGGCACACUUCGAGGGAGCUGAGAUGAGCAUCGGAGCUGAGAAUGGAGGCUGCAAGUGUGGUGACAACUGUACUUGCGACCCUUGCACUUGUAAAUGAUGAGAUCAGAGGAAGAUCUGACCUCGUUAUAAAAAGAAAAUCAGACAUAUAAAGAAAUAAUGGAUCGAGUCUAGCGGUAGCUAAGUUGUGCGUCUGUUCGUGUAUCUGUCUGUGUUUUUAAGCUUCAAUAAAGUAGCCAUUGAAGAAGUUUAUGCAGAUCUUGUAUUAGGAUUUUGCAGAAACUUUAUAUGGCUACUUCUUGGUUGAGUUUAUAUGUAUAUAAGGUAUGCAUGCAUGUUGAUUUACAAGCAUGAAUGUAUAUGAGGAGUAAGCUUUUGAUAUGGCUUAAUGGAAAACUUCCUUGAAAUUUUAGCUCGUUAAAUUUGAUUGAUUUCAUAGAUGAUAUGAAAGGCGAUGGAAAUGUUUUGGUUUGCUUGUUAUUGGACGGAUGAGAAAUAGUGAUAAGGAUGAAGACGAGAGUUGGGUUGAUAUUUACUGUUGGUGCAUUCAUUAUGAAUGACAAAAUGAGCCGUUUCGCUUAUGCUAACAUUACAUGUUUGGAACUAAUAAAUUGAAUUGAAAAUAUAUAAAUUCAUUUCAAUCUUAUAUUUGGAUAGCUAAUGAAUACUCACUUAUGAGAUAAUACUUUUUUAAAAUAUGAAAUUUAAUAAUAUAUCUAAAAAUUUAAUUAUUAAGUUAUUUUUUAGAAAAUAUUUAUCUAAAAAAAAGAAAGAAGAGAAUAUUUCGAAAGAAAUAUAUUUAUUUAAAAAAUAGGAAAAUGGAGAAGGAG
This 1170-nucleotide unclassified non-coding RNA is filed under the name Hevea brasiliensis (rubber tree). Lineage: Eukaryota; Viridiplantae; Streptophyta; Magnoliopsida; Malpighiales; Euphorbiaceae. The record is from RNAcentral.